RNAcentral lists this ribosomal RNA (2220 nucleotides) under Triticum aestivum (bread wheat). RNAcentral describes it as "partial small subunit ribosomal RNA". Lineage: Eukaryota; Viridiplantae; Streptophyta; Magnoliopsida; Poales; Poaceae. The record is from RNAcentral.
AUGGUGGCGAGGAUGAUGCGGUGGCCGCGGCCGCCCCAGGCGCGCAAGUUCCGCGUCCGGCUGGUGGUGCGGCGGGCGGAGGGGCUGCCGCCGUCCGUGGAGCCCGCGGGACAGGAGCAGAGGGUCGCGGCGGAGGUCAGGUGGAAGGGGCCGAGGGCGUCCGGCCUCGGCUCGCUGCGGCGCGCGGUGCGGCGCAACCGCACCAGGGGCGAGGAGCUGGCCGCCUCCGGGGCCGUGGCGUGGGAGGAGGGGUUCGAGAGCGCCGUCACGCUCGCGGCCGCGUCUCACCGGGAGGCGGCCGCGUUCCAGCCGUGGGAGCUCGCCUUCACCGUCUUCACCGAUGUGAACAAAGGCCCAAAGACUAAACCAACAAUUCUGGGAACCGCUUCCCUUAGCCUAGCAGAUUAUGCAUCAGCAGCCGAAGAGGAUAUUGAGAUAAUUCUCCCUUUGUCCGUGCCCUCUGGUGCGCCUGAGUCUGCUCCGUCCCUUCAUCUCACUCUGAGUAUGGUGGAACUGAGAGCUCAUCAAGAAACCUCUGACGCUUCACAACGGUCUGCUGUGGCCGCUCCGUUAUCCCCGUCAUCUUGUGAUUCUGUCCCUGGAGGAAAAGAUGAGGUUUCAGUCAUUAAAGCAGGGCUAAGAAAGGUAAAAAUCCUCAGGCAUAUAGUGUCAGCUCGACGGUCCAAGAAGACGUUCCAAAGCGAUGAAGGCAGUGAAGAUAAUUGCUAUAUUCACAGUGAUGGUACUGAAUAUCCAUAUGGUACCGAGCCUGUGGAUGAAGAUCUUGAUGAUAGAACACAUGAAGAUGAAGUUGCGGAUUCAACUAUCAGGAAAUCGUUCAGUUAUGGUUCACUGCAGUCUGUCAACCAUGUUGGUGACCAUGAGGACUGGGUCUAUUACAGUCACCGGAAAUCUGAUGCCGGUUACCAUGUAGAUGAACCACAGUCAUCAACUGCUGUGGGAACUGUGUUGCCAGCUGUAAAACGGAGUAUCCUUCCUUGGAGAAAGAGGAAACUGGGUUUACGGUCACUAAAGGCUAAAGGUGAACCUCUGUUGAAGAGAGCAAAUGGAGAAGAGGGAGGUGAUGAUAUUGACCAUGAUCGACGGCUGCUAACCUCUUCCGAUGGAUCACAGCGAUCAAGAAGUGAAGAUGGGUCAGUUCAUGGUAUGAUGUCAGAAUUUGGCGAUGACAAUUUUGUUGUGGGGAACUGGGAAUCAAAGGAGGUACUUAGCCGUGAUGGUCAUAUGAGGCUUUCUUCCCAGGUGUUCUUUGCGUCAAUAGACCAGAGAAGUGAGCGGGUUGCUGGGGCGAGUGCAUGCACGUCACUUGUGGCUGUCAUUGCAGACUGGUUCCAGGCAAAUCAGAAUCUGAUGCCUAUCCAGUCGCAGUUUGAUAACCUGAUCCGAGAAGGAUCACUAGAGUGGAGAAACCUUUGCGAGAACAAGACAUACCGAGAGCGUUUUCCUGACAAGCACUUUGAUCUUGAAACUGUCCUUGAUGCCAAGACCCGGCCACUCACAGUCUCCCCCAGCAAGUCAUUUAUCGGAUUCUUCGUACCCGAAGGAGCUGAUGACAUGGGAGGACUUGACUUCCUCAAUGAUGCCAUGUCCUUUGAUAACAUCUGGGAUGAGAUCAGCCAGGCAGCAGAGGCCUCAUCCAGUGACAACCCUAACCUAUAUAUAGUGAGCUGGAAUGACCACUUCUUUCUCCUCAAGGUUGAGCGUGAUGCAUAUUACAUCAUCGACACGCUUGGAGAAAGGUUCUACGAAGGAUGCAGCCAGGCCUACAUUUUGAAAUUUGACGACACCACCAUGAUUCACAAGGUGUCCGGCGAGAAGAAGGCGCAACCUAGCCCCGACUCAAGCGGGCCGCUGAAGGGUUCUUCAGCGAGCUCCUCGUCGGGGCAGGACAGCGAAGACGACGACGCCGAGGAGAACGUACUCGUGUCGAAGGGCAAGGAGUCGUGCAAAGAGUACAUCAAGAGCUUCUUGGCGGCCAUACCGAUCAGGGAGCUACAGGGGGACAUCAAGAGGGGAACGGUGGCAUCAACACCGCUGCACCACCGCCUCCAGAUCGAGUUCCACUACACCGAGGCGGUCCCGGCAGAGGUUGCCCCGCCGCCUCAAGCCCUCGCCAUCGAAGCCCCGUUCGAGUUCUCGUGGCCCGAGCCACCGCCGGCGAUGGAGCUCGCCCUAGCACCCGCGGUCGCCGUCGCAUAG